CGGUGGGUCUAGGCGGGGAGCUAGGGGUUCCCUGAGAACCCGUAAGGGUUCGACCGCAAACCCCCUAUACGGCGGGCCGAAAGCUGAGGUGAGGCGCACCCAGCUACAUCAAACCCCUCCAAAACCUUCCAUGAACACCUGUCCCCUAGGGUCGGCGGAGGUGGUUAUCCAACCUGUAGGGGUUGGGUGACCACCUAACCAGGUGAACCUGGCUAGGCCCGGGAGAAGGAGUUAACAGGUUCAACCCCUCCCGAAGGAGCAACCUAAGCCUGGACGCUUGACGCUUAGGGGGGUGCGGGUGUGAGAAGGCUUGAGGAGGUUUGGUGUAGUAUGGGCGUCGAGCCUCAGGACCCACCG
RNAcentral lists this signal recognition particle RNA (357 nucleotides) under Candidatus Bathyarchaeota archaeon. RNAcentral's name for it is "signal recognition particle sRNA". It matches the Rfam family "Archaeal signal recognition particle RNA". Lineage: Archaea; Thermoproteati; Candidatus Bathyarchaeota. The record is from RNAcentral.